RNAcentral lists this transfer RNA (62 nucleotides) under Eucalanus bungii. Its description in RNAcentral is "tRNA Ile". Lineage: Eukaryota; Metazoa; Arthropoda; Copepoda; Calanoida; Eucalanidae. The record is from RNAcentral.
AGUGGGGUGCCUGAGUAAAGGGCUAUCUUGAUAAGAUAGAUCAUGUAUAAUUACCCCCACUA